AUUGAACGCUGGCGGCAUGCCUUACACAUGCAAGUCGAACGGUAACAGGUCUUCGGAUGCUGACGAGUGGCGAACGGGUGAGUAAUGCAUCGGAACGUGCCUAGUAGCGGGGGAUAACUACUCGAAAGAGUGGCUAAUACCGCAUGAGAUCUACGGAUGAAAGCAGGGGAUCGCAAGACCUUGUGCUACUAGAGCGGCCGAUGGCAGAUUAGGUAGUUGGUGGGAUAAAAGCUUACCAGGCCGACGAUCUGUAGCUGGUCUGAGAGGACGAUCAGCCACACUGGGACUGAGACACGGCCCAGACUCCUACGGGAGGCAGCAGUGGGGAAUUUUGGACAAUGGGCGAAAGCCUGAUCCAGCAAUGCCGCGUGCAGGAUGAAGGCCUUCGGGUUGUAAACUGCUUUUGUACGGAACGAAAAGCCCCGGGUUAAUACCCUGGGGUCAUGACGGUACCGUAAGAAUAAGCACCGGCUAACUACGUGCCAGCAGCCGCCGUAA
This 498-nucleotide ribosomal RNA is filed under the name uncultured bacterium. RNAcentral describes it as "partial 16S ribosomal RNA". It matches the Rfam family "Bacterial small subunit ribosomal RNA", at positions 30 to 523 of the family's 1533-position model. The record is from RNAcentral.